AGAAUCCUGCCCUCCUUGCCACUGACGGGACCAUCCGCACUGGGUCAGCCUAUGAGCAACACUGACCUGAUUCACCUGCACGCCUUCAUUCCCCCACCUUCAUCCUCCUCCUCGCAGAGGUGAUCAGAUGUUUGCAGGUGCCUGCCUGUGUUUACAAAAUCCAUCCCAGGAAACCACAUGACAUUUGGUCAUCUGCCAUUGCAUUCCUUUACGUGUAUGAUCAAGUGGUUCCCUGAGGGCUUUGAUGAUCAGGGCAGAGGCAGAAGGCACCACCUCAAUCUGGGCCUGUCUGUUCUGAAUGGUCAGUUUCACUGUAAUCCUCAGGCCCUUCCGGUAACCCGUUGCCUUGGCAAUGUUAUCACCAACCUUUUUUGGAGACAGACCCAGGGGGCCGAUCUUGGGGGCCAGCGCAGAAGCAGCGACUUCACCUCCAGUGCACCUCAGGUAUACAACUUUGAUCUCUCUGGGGUCAAACUUCACGGCAUGGUGGAGGUGGCUGGUGUGGGAUGAACCCGGAUUCGGGACAACCGAAGAAAGUUGCACCUUGGUCUCCUUCUCUUUUUUUUUUUUUUUUUUUUUUUUUUUUUUUUUUUUUUUGAGACAGAGUCUUUCUCUGAGAGAGAGUCUAGCUCUAUCGCCCAGGCUGGAGUGCAGUGGCAUGAUCUUGGCUCACUGCAACCUCCGCCUUCCGGGUUCAAGCGAUUCUCCUGUCUCAGUCUCCUGAAUAGCUGGGACUACAGGCACACGCCACCAUGCCCGGCUAAUUUUUGUAUUUUUAGUAGAGACGAGGGUCUCACCAUAUUGGUCAGGCUGAUCUCGAACUCCUGACCUCAGGUGAUCCACCGGCCUCUGCCUCCCAAAGUGCUGGGAUUACAGGCGUGAGCCACCGUGCCUGGCCCAGGCUGGACACUUUCUAGUUUUGCAAUCUGUUCUCUCCUCUCAGCCUCACUGCCACCCUGCGUGGUGCGUGGGCCGGAAUGACCCUUCCCCUCUUGCAGUUUGGAGAAGUUGAGGACCCGUGUGAACCCUGAAAUCAUUCAUGCCCGGGCUCCCCGUUCGCCAGCCCAUGCUGCCCUCUAGUGGUUGUGUGCGCACCUGCCUUUAGGGAGUCCAGGACAGCCGGGACAACCAGCUCAUCUGCAGACAGCAGUGGCCAGCCUUCCCAGGCUGCGCAGGGGACCCUAGGCAGGGACCGUCCCCCUCAGGACCCUUCCAGCACUGCAUGCCUUCACCAGCUCCUCUUCCUGUCUCGCAGCAUCUGGUUUAGAUGCAUAGAUAGAUGUAUUAUAUACGUAUAUUUUAAUUGUGCUAAAAUACAUGUAAAAUUUACCAUCGCAACUAACUGUACGGUUUCAUGGCAUUAAGUACCUUCACACUGUUGGGCAACCAUCACCACCAUACAUCUCCAGAACUAUUUUUUUUUUUAAGACAAAGUCUUACUGUGUCACCCAGGCUGGAAGCGCAGUGGUGCAAUCUUGGCUCACGACAACCUCUGCCUCCUGUGUUCAAGUGAUUCUCCCACGUCAGCCUCCCAAGUAGCUGGAACUACAGGUGCCCGCCACUCCACCUGGCUAAUAUUUUAUUUUAUUUUAUUUUUGAGACAGACUCUCUCUCUGUCGCCCAGGCUGGAGUGCAGUGGCGCGAUCUCGGCUCACUGCAAGCUCCGCCUCCUGGGUUCAGACCAUUCUCCUGCGUCAGCCUCCCGAGUAGCUGGGACUACAGGCGCCUGCCACCACACCCGGCUAAUUUUUUGUAUUUUUAGUGGAGACAGGGUUUCACCCUAUUAGCCAGGAUGGUCUCAAUCUCCUGACCUCGUGAUCCGCCCGCCUCGGCUUCCCAAAGAGCUGGGAUUACAGGCGUGAGCCACCGCGCCCGGCCCCUACCUGGCUAAUUUUUGUAUUUUUAGAGAGACAAGGUUUCACCAUGUUGGCCAGGCUGGUCUCGAACUCUGGCCAGCUUUUUUUUUUUUUUUUUUUUGACAGGGUCUCACUCUGUCACCCAGGCUGGAGUGCGACUUCGACCUCCCAGGCUCAGAUGACCCUCUUACCUUAACCCCUAGAGUAGCUGGAACUACAAGCGCAUGCCACCAUGCCUGGCUAAUUUUUUGUAGAGACAGGGUUUUGCCAUGUUGCCCAGGCUGGUCUUGAAUUCCUGGGCCCCAGCGAUUCGCCUGCCUUGACCUCCCAAAGUGCUGGGGUUACAGGCGUGAGCCACUGCGCCCAGCCUCCAGAACGCUAUUCUCCUUCCCAAACUGAAACUCUGCCCCCAUUAAACACUAAGCUCCUCAUUCCUAUUUCCCCCCAGUUCCUGGAAACCUCUGUUCUACAUUGUCUUUAUGAAUCUGACUAGAUACUCAUAUAAGUGGAAUCAUACAGUGUCUGUCCUUUUGUGUCUGCCUAUUUCACUGAGCACAAUGUUGUCAAGGUGUAUUCACAUUGUGGCAUGUGUCAGAAUGCCAUCCUUUUUUUUUGUUUGUUUUUUUGAGAUGGAGUCUCACUUUGUUGCCCAGGCUGGAGUGCAGUGGCACGAUCUCAGCUCAUCACAACCUCUGCCUCCUGGGUUCAAAUGAUUCUUCUUCCUCAGCCUCCCCAGUAGUUGGGACUACAGGUGUGUGCCACUAUGCCUGGCUAAUUUUUGUAUUUUUAGUAGAGACGGGGUUUUACCAUGUUGGCCAGGCUGAUCUUGAACUCCUGAUCUCGUGAUCCGCCUGCCUCAGCCUCCC
This 2722-nucleotide long non-coding RNA is filed under the name Homo sapiens (human). RNAcentral describes it as "non-protein coding lnc-UQCRHL-2:3". Lineage: Eukaryota; Metazoa; Chordata; Mammalia; Primates; Hominidae. The record is from RNAcentral.